UACGGAGGAUCCAAGCGUUAUCCGGAAUUACUGGGCGUAAAGAGUUGCGUAGGUGGCAUAGUAAGCGAGUAGUGAAAGCGUGUGGCUCAACCAUACAUCCAUUACUUGAACUGCUAAGCUAGAGUAUGAGAGAGGUAGAUGGAAUUCCCUGUGUAGGAGUGAAAUCCGUAGAUAUAGGGAGGAACACCGAUGGCGUAGGCAGUCUACUGGCUCAUUACUGACACUAAGGCACGAAAGCGUGGGUAGCAAACGGG
RNAcentral lists this ribosomal RNA (254 nucleotides) under uncultured bacterium. RNAcentral's name for it is "partial 16S ribosomal RNA". It matches the Rfam family "Bacterial small subunit ribosomal RNA", at positions 524 to 776 of the family's 1533-position model. The record is from RNAcentral.